AAGGGGAGCAAUCCCUGAGUAAAGUGGCGACCGGGUGAGUAACACGUGACUAACCUACCCUCGAGUGUGGAAUAACAUCGGGAAACCGAUGCUAAUACCGCAUAACAUCGCAAGAUCAAAGCAGCAAUGCGCUGGAAGAGGGGGUCGCGGCUGAUUAGCUAGUUGGCGGGGUAACGGCCCACCAAGGCGAAGAUCGGUAGCCGGCCUGAGAGGGCGCACGGCCACACUGGAACUGAAACACGGUCCAGACUCCUACGGGAGGCAGCAGUGGGAAUUUUGCGCAAUGGGGGAAACCCUGACGCAGCAACGCCGCGUGGAGGAUGAAGCCCCUUGGG
RNAcentral lists this ribosomal RNA (335 nucleotides) under uncultured bacterium. RNAcentral describes it as "bacterial SSU rRNA". It matches the Rfam family "Bacterial small subunit ribosomal RNA", at positions 72 to 422 of the family's 1533-position model. The record is from RNAcentral.